Non-coding RNA from Cicer arietinum (chickpea), 489 nucleotides. NCBI's taxonomy places the organism in Eukaryota, Viridiplantae, Streptophyta, Magnoliopsida, Fabales, Fabaceae. The record is from RefSeq and is a predicted model, not a curated record.
UCCACAGGCUCGGCCAAUGCCUUGGCCAGAUGUUUCUGCAGAAGAUACUAAUAAUUUAGUGGUUGACAAAGAUAUUGCAGGUCUGGUGGAGGAGCUGAAGAUACGAACAGAAGCAACAAGAGGUUGUUUUCAGGAUUUUCUUAUUCAAAUUGGUGGUGCCGGUGCAUUUUAUUCCUAGACUAUAAGACCCAACUAUCAAGUGGAUGCACUUGCCCCCAAAAUUUGGAGACAGUGUUGUGUUCAUAGCCUUUGUUUGGUACUCUGCUAAUCAUUGUUUCCAAGAAGUCCCAUUUCUGAUCAGUAGAGAUUGGAAGUGUAGUUGCAAUUUUAAGCCUCUUUUGCUCUAUCUUCCAUUGUGUUUUUAAAAUAUGCCUUAUUCUCCACCCAGCUGUAAUUCUGCACUUCUCUACCACCCAAAAUAAUUUUUAAUAGGAAGGUACUUGUUUGACUUAGUGAGAUUUUAUAAAAAGUCUUGAGUUUAUUAUAACA